AAGACGAACACAGCCAGAGCGAAGAGUUUAUUUCAAGAGCAGAAGACACACCAUUGGAGGUGUGGGCUAGGACCGGACUUUGGAGGGUUCUCAAAGCUUGCAAAGAGAAAUAAAACUUUCUAAAUUUCCUAAGUCUAUUAGGUGAAAUUUUCAUGGCUGACUAACAUAUACUUUGGGUGAUUGAAGAAAUUGUCUUUGUGAGACUGUCCACAGCUAUUGUAAUGACAAAGUUUCAGAAUCCACUUUAUCAAGACAGAGAGUUAAAGACUUGUAAGAAAAGACAGAAGUUUCAUUUUAAUUUUACUCUAGAUGUCCUUACAGGGAAAGGCCAUGUGAAGAUGGAAACAGGAGAUUGGAGUGAUGCUGCCACAGCCGAGAAGGAGCUGGAGCCAACAGAGAAGCUGGAAGAGGCAGAGGAUUCUCUUUGGGGGAGGUGCUGCUGAUUAUGGACUUCCAGGCUCCAAAACUGUGGGGAGAAGGGGUUUUUGCUAUUUUAAGCCUUUAUGUUUGUGGUGAUUUGUUUUAGUAGCCUUAACAAAUUUUAAUUUGUAGGGAAUGUUGACAUCACAUAGUUUAAAUUUUCUGGAUGUGCCUUAGGAUCAGAAUCAUAUGAGGUGCUUUUCCUAAAAUACAUAUUCUUGGACUCUAUACAAGACCUAUUGAAUGGAAAUUUUUGGAGAAGGGUGAUAGUGGCCUGGGGAUCUUUAUUAGUACCAAACGCCCUGGGUGAUUCAUAUCAUCAAGCACGGAGCUGAGGAAAUGCUGAGUUAGGUCAAGGAUAUAAAAACCGUUUUUAUUAAUUUCUGCCUAUGGCUUUCAAUAUACCCCACCAGGGUUUGCCUAACCUCCCACUUUCUUGCAUCGAGAGCCUUAUUAAUACUAGGAUGUAUAAAAGAGGGAACUGUAGCCAAAGACAAUGCAAAAGCAUGUCACAUACCUAUAAGAAAACAAAAAGACAACUUAGUAGAAGCUUGUAUACCAUUUCAAGCAAAAAUAAUACAAAUGUUUAAAUAUAAAUUUAUAGAACAUGAAAAAAAAAAACAGAACAAGACCA
This is a long non-coding RNA of Canis lupus familiaris (dog), 1054 nucleotides long. RefSeq lists it as uncharacterized. Lineage: Eukaryota; Metazoa; Chordata; Mammalia; Carnivora; Canidae. The transcript has 4 exons. The record is from RefSeq and is a predicted model, not a curated record.